This 73-nucleotide transfer RNA is filed under the name Chloroflexota bacterium. RNAcentral's name for it is "Chloroflexi bacterium (anaerobic digester metagenome) tRNA-His". It matches the Rfam family "tRNA". Rfam says of the family: Transfer RNA (tRNA) molecules are approximately 80 nucleotides in length. Their secondary structure includes four short double-helical elements and three loops (D, anti-codon, and T loops). Further hydrogen bonds mediate the characteristic L-shaped molecular structure. tRNAs have two regions of fundamental functional importance: the anti-codon, which is responsible for specific mRNA codon recognition, and the 3' end, to which the tRNAs corresponding amino acid is attached (by aminoacyl-tRNA synthetases). tRNAs cope with the degeneracy of the genetic code in two manners: having more than one tRNA (with a specific anti-codon) for a particular amino acid; and 'wobble' base-pairing, i.e. permitting non-standard base-pairing at the 3rd anti-codon position. Lineage: Bacteria; Bacillati; Chloroflexota. RNAcentral also lists the same sequence under 1 other name. The record is from RNAcentral.
GUGGGCGUAGCCGAGUGGAUAAGGCAUCUGGUUGUGGCCCAGAAGACCGUGGGUUCAAAUCCCACCGCUCACC